AAAUUAAUUUUUAAUUUUUUUAGUCUCGCUAAAACUCGAGAACGGCUAAAUCGAUUUGGCUAUUUUUGGUCUUGGAAUAUCCGUGGAAGUCCAGGAAAGGUUUAAAAGGAAUUUGUAUGCUCAGC
Aricia agestis (brown argus) is the source of this 125-nucleotide long non-coding RNA. RefSeq lists it as uncharacterized. The record is from RefSeq and is a predicted model, not a curated record. NCBI's taxonomy places the organism in Eukaryota, Metazoa, Arthropoda, Insecta, Lepidoptera, Lycaenidae. The transcript is spliced from 3 exons.